RNAcentral lists this ribosomal RNA (433 nucleotides) under uncultured bacterium. RNAcentral describes it as "bacterial SSU rRNA". It matches the Rfam family "Bacterial small subunit ribosomal RNA", at positions 70 to 507 of the family's 1533-position model. The record is from RNAcentral.
UAUUGGUUUCGGACCAAGAGACCGGCGCACGGGUGCGUAACGCGUAUGCAAUCUACCUUUGCAGAGGAUAGCCCAGAGAAAUUUGGAUUAAUACCUCAUAGUAUAGUACUUUGCAUCAAGGAACUAUUAAAGUCACAACGGCAAAAGAUGAGCAUGCGUCCCAUUAGCUAGUUGGUAAGGUAACGGCUUACCAAGGCUACGAUGGGUAGGGGUCCUGAGAGGGAGAUCCCCCACACUGGUACUGAGACACGGACCAGACUCCUACGGGAGGCAGCAGUGAGGAAUAUUGGACAAUGGGCGCAAGCCUGAUCCAGCCAUGCCGCGUGCAGGAUGACGGUCCUAUGGAUUGUAAACUGCUUUUUAUACAGGAAGAAACACUCCGACGUGUCGGAGCUUGACGGUACUGUAAGAAUAAGGAUCGGCUAACUCCGUG